AUAUAUACAGUGAAACUGCGAAUGGCUCAUUAAAUCAGUUAUCGUUUAUUUGAUGAUACUUUACUACUUGGAUAACCGUGGUAAUUCUAGAGCUAAUACAUGCAUAAAAGUCCCGACCCCUGGAAGGGAUGUAUUUAUUAGAUAAAAAACCAAUGCCUUCGGGCUCUUUGGUGAUUCAUAGUAACUUAACGAAUCGCAUAGCCUUGUGCUGGCGAUGGUUCAUUCAAAUUUCUGCCCUAUCAACUUUCGAUGGUAGGAUAUAGGCCUACCAUGGUUUCAACGGGUAACGGGGAAUUAGGGUUCUAUUCCGGAGAGGGAGCCUGAGAAACGGCUACCACAUCCAAGGAAGGCAGCAGGCGCGCAAAUUACCCAAUCCCGACACGGGGAGGUAGUGACAAUAAAUACUGAUACAGGUGGUUUUAUGCCUCUUGUAAUUGGAAUGAGUACAAUUUAAAUCUCUUAACGAGGAACAAUUGGAGGGCAAGUCUGGUGCCAGCAGCCGCGGUAAUUCCAGCUCCAAUAGCGUAUAUUAAAGUUGUUGCAGUUAAAAAGCUCGUAGUUGAACCUUGGAUCUGGCCAACUGGUCUGCCUCACCGCAUGCACUGGUUUGGUCGGGUCUUUCCUUCUGGCAAACUGCAUGCCCUUCACUGGGUGUGUUGGGGAACCAGGACUUUUACUUUGAAAAAAUUAGAGUGUUCAAAGCAGGCAUUAGCUCGAAUACAUUAGCAUGGAAUAAUAGAAUAGGACGUGUGGUUCUAUUUUGUUGGUUUCUAGGACCACCGUAAUGAUUAAUAGGGAUAGUCGGGGGCAUCAGUAUUCAAUCGUCAGAGGUGAAAUUCUUGGAUCGAUUGAAGACUAACUACUGCGAAAGCAUUUGCCAAGGAUGUUUUCAUUAAUCAGGGAACGAAAGUUAGGGGAUCGAAGACGAUCAGAUACCGUCGUAGUCUUAACCAUAAACUAUGCCGACUAGGGAUUGGGCGAUGUUCUUUUUUGACUCGCUCAGCACCUUACGAGAAAUCAAAGUCUUUGG
Molecule: ribosomal RNA, 1030 nt
Filed under: Terfezia arenaria
Lineage: Eukaryota; Fungi; Ascomycota; Pezizomycetes; Pezizales; Pezizaceae
Description: SSU rRNA
Rfam family: Eukaryotic small subunit ribosomal RNA
Source: RNAcentral